AUUGAACGCUGGCGGCAUGCCUUACACAUGCAAGUCGAACGGCAGCACGGGUGCUUGCACCUGGUGGCGAGUGGCGAACGGGUGAGUGAUACAUCGGAACAUGUCCUGUAGUGGGGGAUAGCCCGGCGAAAGCCGGAUUAAUACCGCAUACGAUCUACGGAUGAAAGCGGGGGACCUUCGGGCCUCGCGCUAUAGGGUUGGCCGAUGGCUGAUUAGCUAGUUGGUGGGGUAAAGGCCUACCAAGGCGACGAUCAGUAGCUGGUCUGAGAGGACGACCAGCCACACUGGGACUGAGACACGGCCCAGACUCCUACGGGAGGCAGCAGUGGGGAAUUUUGGACAAUGGGCGAAAGCCUGAUCCAGCAAUGCCGCGUGUGUGAAGAAGGCCUUCGGGUUGUAAAGCACUUUUGUCCGGAAAGAAAUCCUUGGCUCUAAUACAGUCGGGGGAUGACGGUACCGGAAGAAUAAGCACCGGCUAACUACGUG
This 486-nucleotide ribosomal RNA is filed under the name uncultured bacterium. RNAcentral describes it as "partial 16S ribosomal RNA". It matches the Rfam family "Bacterial small subunit ribosomal RNA", at positions 30 to 507 of the family's 1533-position model. The record is from RNAcentral.